CCCGUCUCUACUGAAAAUACAAAAAUUAGCCAAGCAUGGUGGCAUGCGCCUGUCAUCCCACUCAAGAGGCUGAGACAGGAGAAUUGCUUGAACCUGGGAGGCAGAGGUUGCAAUGAGCCCAGAUCGCGCCAUUGCACUCUAGCCUGCGCAACAAAAGUGAAACUCCACCUCAAAAAACAAAAACAAAAACAAAAACAAAAAAACCCAAAAACGCUGGGCUUGGUGGCUCAUGGCCUGUAAUCCCAGCACUUUGGGAGGCUGGCCUCAAACUCCUGACCUCAGGCGAUCUGCCCUCCUCGGGCUUCCAAAGUGCUGGGAUUAUAGGUGUGAGCCACUGCACCCCGCCAAUCCAGCAAGUUUUAACUUGGCCAAAAUCCACCAAUCUUAAACUUUGUGCACCCUUCCCACUCUGAAGAACAGUGAGCCAGCCGGCCAGGGUGCGGGUAUCUCCUACCUACCCUGGGGCCCCUCACUGUAUGUUGACUAUUGACAAAUAUUUAUUGUGUGCUGGCUGUGAAUAGGACUUGUAUAUUGAGCACUUAGGUGUCAUGAACCAUGCUGGAUGUUUUGACCAUAUUAUCCCCUUUAAUUCUCACGACCCAACUCUGUGGGGCACUUUUACAGCUGGGAAACUGAGGGUUCAAGGGGUUAGGUAUGGGACUUGCCCAAGGUCAUAAAGGUAUGUGGUAGCCAGAGUCCCUGUUCGGCACAGACCUGUUCUUUGCUGUCCUGGCCAGUGUUCCAGGCCUUGGGGACAUAGCUGGGGCUGAAGCAGGGCUGUUUCUGCCCUCAGGCAGUUUACAUCCUGGCAGAGGGGAGAGCUGGGCAACAGUGAGUUGCACAGACUUGUCUUAUUACCGCUGUGGUAUGUGCAGGAAGGGGAGGUGCUGGUUCUGAGGCUCCAGAGGGCUUGUCUUUUUUUUUUUUUUUUUGAGACGGAGUCUCGCUUUGUUGCCCAGGCUAGAGUCCAGUGGCGCGAUCUCGGCUCAGUGCAAGCUCCGCCUCCCGGGUUCAAGCGAUUCUCCUGCCUCAGCCUCCCCAAUAGCUGGGAUUACAGGCGCAUGGCACCACGCACGGCUAAUUUUGGUAUUUUUAGUAGAGACUGGG
This 1107-nucleotide long non-coding RNA is filed under the name Homo sapiens (human). Its description in RNAcentral is "LHRI_LNC1839.1". The record is from RNAcentral. Lineage: Eukaryota; Metazoa; Chordata; Mammalia; Primates; Hominidae.